Molecule: ribosomal RNA, 497 nt
Filed under: uncultured bacterium
Lineage: Bacteria
Description: partial 16S ribosomal RNA
Rfam family: Bacterial small subunit ribosomal RNA
Source: RNAcentral
GAUGAACGCUGGCGGCGUGCCUAAUACAUGCAAGUCGAGCGAACAGACGAGGAGCUUGCUCCUCUGACGUUAGCGCCGGACGGGUGAGUAACUUGUGGAUAACCUAACUAUACGACUGGGAUAAUUUCGCGAAACCGGAUCUAAUACCGGAUAAUAUAUUGAACCUCAUGGUUCAAUAGUGGAAGACGGUUUUGCUUUCACUUAUAGAUGGAUCCGCGCCGCAUUAGCUAGUUGGUAAGGUAACGGCUUACCAAGGCAACGAUGCGUAGCCGACCUGAGAGGGAGAUCGGCCACACGGGAACUGAGACUCGGUCCAGACUCUUACGCGAGGCAGCAGUAGGGAAUCUUCCGCAAUGGGCGAAAGCCUGACGGAGCAACGCCGCGUGAGUGAUGAAGGUCUUCGGAUCGUAAAGCUCUGUUAUUAGGGAAGAACAAAUGUGUAAGUAACUAUGCACGUCUUGACGGUACCUAAUCAAAAAGCCACGGCUAACUCCGUG